GGGGGGGGCUGUGGGGCGGCAGGGGUGGGCUCCAGCAUCACCAGGGUGCGGUGGGGGGGGGGCUCCCCCGUCGUCUCUGCCUGGGGGGCGUCAGUGCUGCCAUUGGGGGCUUUGGGCGCUGCUGCGGUGCCCUGCACCCCCGGCUCUGCCCCCUCUUUGUCCUCCUGUGCCCUCUCGGAGCCCUUGGCCUCCUCCUCGGCCGCCUGGCGCCGCCGCUUCUCGCGCCUCUCGUCCAACUCCUCAUCCCGCAGAGCCUCCAGGCGGGCCAGG
RNAcentral lists this long non-coding RNA (270 nucleotides) under Gallus gallus (chicken). The record is from RNAcentral. Lineage: Eukaryota; Metazoa; Chordata; Aves; Galliformes; Phasianidae.